Molecule: unclassified non-coding RNA, 259 nt
Filed under: Basidiomycota sp.
Lineage: Eukaryota; Fungi; Basidiomycota
Description: partial contains small subunit ribosomal RNA, internal transcribed spacer 1, and 5.8S ribosomal RNA
Rfam family: Eukaryotic small subunit ribosomal RNA (bases 1-47)
Source: RNAcentral
AAAGUCGUAACAAGGUUUCCGUAGGUGAACCUGCGGAAGGAUCAUUAUUGAAUCCUUAGGAUGUCGCUGGCCCUUUGUAAAAAGGGCAUGUGCACUCCGCCUUUCAAUCCACCUGUGCACUUAUUGUAGGCUUUUGUAAGGGGAAACCCUAUCAACCUACGUAUUUAUACACACUAUUAAAGUAACAGAAUGUAACUUAGUAGACCUUCAAUGGUCGAAAACCUAAAUACAACUUUCAACAACGGAUCUCUUGGUUCUC